Molecule: long non-coding RNA, 823 nt
Organism: Pipistrellus kuhlii (Kuhl's pipistrelle)
Lineage: Eukaryota; Metazoa; Chordata; Mammalia; Chiroptera; Vespertilionidae
Exons: 2
Source: RefSeq, a predicted model, not a curated record
UCAUCCUCUUCCUUUUUCAACUCUUCACACAGCCACUAUCAUGAGUUUGAUCUUUAUCCUUGCAAUCCAUUUAAAAAACAUACAUACAUAUAUGUAUCUAUUACCAAUAUAUAGUACUGAAUUUUUGUAAGGGAAGUUUUAAUUCAAAUUUACAAAAAUGUCGUGGUAUCACAAUUGUCAUUCUGUCUCUUCAUUUUCCUCAAUGUUUUUGAUACAAUUCUCUGUAAUACAUAUAGAUCUCAUUUGUUACAUAUCCCAUAAUAAGUACUUUCUACGUUUUUACUGACGGGCAUUUGUUUCCAACUUAUUGGCUACCACAAAUCGUGCCACAGUAAAUAGCCUGGUACAUAUUUCCUGAGCAUACAAACUCAAGAGUAGAAAACCUACAUACUUUUAAUUCAUUAUAAGGAAUGUUUUCCUACUCCUAGGGUCAUAAUCAUUUCAGGAUGCAGCUUUUCAACAGUCCUGUUUGCUUGUUUUUUAAAUGUGUUUUUACUGAUUUCAGAGAGGGAGAGAAACAUCAAAACUGACUGUCUUCUGCACACUCCCUAUUGGGGAUCAAGCCUGCAAUCCAGGUAUGUGCCCUGAGUGGGAAUGGAAUAAUUGACCUCUUGGUUCAUGGUUUGAGGCUCACCCACUGAGCAACAUAUGCUGGGCCAUAGUCCUCUUUUUAAUCCCACGGAUUUUACCUUUAUGUAUAGUUCAUGAUUUUUUCUUCCUUGGAGAAUCAACCACCUCCAAAUCAUUUUUUAAACAGUCCCAUUAUCUUCUCUAAUUUUAAAUUCUAAUAAAUGCAUAGGUAUUUCAGAAUCUCUUCUCUUCU